RNAcentral lists this ribosomal RNA (249 nucleotides) under uncultured bacterium. RNAcentral's name for it is "partial 16S ribosomal RNA". It matches the Rfam family "Bacterial small subunit ribosomal RNA", at positions 109 to 354 of the family's 1533-position model. The record is from RNAcentral.
AGUAACACGUGAGCAACCUGCCUUUCAGAGGGGGAGUAACAGUUGGAAACGACUGCUAAUACCGCAUGACAUUAGGGGAGGGGCAUCCUCUUCUAAUCAAAGGAGUAAUCCGCUGAAAGAUGGGCUCGCGGCCGAUUAGCUAGAUGGCGGGGUAGAGGCCCACCAUGGCGACGAUCGGUAGCCGGACUGAGAGGUUGAACGGCCACAUUGGGACUGAGACACGGCCCAGACUCCUACGGGAGGCAGCAG